AUCCUGUAAAUCUUCAGAGUGAUACAUUAUCUCUAGCUUCCAAAGCCUUUGUUAUUCAUAUCUCCUCUUUACUUAGAAAGCCUGGAUUAUGUAAAAGCAUGACAAUAUUCAAGGGAGUAUCUUUCAGCAAUUCAUUAUGAAGAACAGCAAGGACACUCUUGGCCCACAGGAAUUUCUGGUGGCACCUCAUUAAUCUUGACCUCCCAAGAAAUCAAAUAGAUGAGAACUUACUAGAAUAUUUCAUGACUUAUAUAAAAGAGAGAAAAAAGCCUUCUAGAUCUGGCCAAAAAUCUGACUUGAAUCAGUACAAUGAAAAAUCAUGGCCUUGUACCCAGUUUUUAGACUAAAUUAAAGCCAGGCUACCAAUAUAGAGCACCUUGAUUGAAAGGGAGGCUGGUCCUGCCUGGGACAUCAAAUAAUUAUGCAGCCUGAGUUUUCCCUCUCUAACCCAUUUAUUCAUAAAGUUGUGUGUGUGCAGCAAGUAUCAUCAAGUAGAAAUAAUAGAUAAAACAUGUGUUUGAGCAAGACCAGGAUAUACAGGUAAGUUGCAUAAGCCAAUGUUUCAGUUGUUUUUUUUGAAACUGAUUUUUUUCUUCAUGGCCUCCUUUCCUUCAGUCCCCAUCUUUUGCCUCAUGAGAAUUCCAUGCAACCAGUUGACUGAAAAUGAAACACUGGAGCCUGGUUUACAUCUGGGUCUGCANGUCAACCAGUUGACUGAAAAUGAAACACUGGAGCCUGGUUUACAUCUGGGUCUGCAAGAUAUUCUGGUCCUUCCUGAAAGUGCAGUACCUGAAAGUAUAAUUGCAACAUUAUAUCCCCGUCCCCCACUCAGAAUACCUGCAAAUAUCAAGGACCCACUCUUAAUCACAGUUUUAUGCUGUUUUUCUCUAUAUGUUCAAAUAAAACAGAAAAUCUGAAGUUUCAGAGAGUAGAUUCAAAGGAUUUGUCACUUGAUCCAGAACCUGUUUCAAACUGGUAAGUUCUGCUUACUCUGCUUAUGACUCUUUUGAAUAAAAAAUAGUUUCUGAUGAGUUCCA
Molecule: long non-coding RNA, 1037 nt
Filed under: Vulpes vulpes (red fox)
Lineage: Eukaryota; Metazoa; Chordata; Mammalia; Carnivora; Canidae
Description: lncRNA (ENSVVUG00000028798.1)
Source: RNAcentral